AGCUGACCUCACCUGGGCUUGACACAGCUGUGAACCUCUGGCCCCAGCUCAGAGGAUAAGGAUGCAUAUCUACAAAGUUCCAUUUUACAGGUGUUUCUAGUAGUCCAGGAGAACUGUGUAUUGUUCCUCCUCAGAGCCUCCUCGUACCAUCUUUUGUUGAGGCAGAGAAAUGCUUCAGAGCCAUGUCAGUGCUUUUCAGCAUGCAGCCACAUGGACAAGCCAGCUCCAGGAGCUACAGGUUCCCAGAAAGCCACCUCCCAUCCCACAGCGAAGCAGAAGCUGAAGACUCUCCUCACCCACUGCAGCCUCUCACCUUACCUCGCUUCUUUCAGAUAGCAGGCAGAAAGCCUGGCUUUAAAAGAGUUCAGACAGGAAGCAGCAAUGUUCCAG
Molecule: long non-coding RNA, 390 nt
Organism: Pipra filicauda (Wire-tailed manakin)
Lineage: Eukaryota; Metazoa; Chordata; Aves; Passeriformes; Pipridae
Exons: 3
Source: RefSeq, a predicted model, not a curated record